RNAcentral lists this long non-coding RNA (493 nucleotides) under Nicotiana benthamiana. RNAcentral's name for it is "long non-coding RNA (NBEN_LNC030034)". Lineage: Eukaryota; Viridiplantae; Streptophyta; Magnoliopsida; Solanales; Solanaceae. The record is from RNAcentral.
UCUUAUCCUUCCUCGGAUCGACGUCUUGACCUCCUUCCGGCUCGACAGCUUCCCAAACUCCUUGGUCUUCCAUCAUAGCCCUUACUCGAAUCACCCAACUGGUAUAGUUCGUCAAUGUCAGUCGUGGAUAUUGGAAGACUCCACUACUGAUUUCCAGUGCUGCGUCUUUGGUAACAAUCGCCAUAUCUUUCAAACUAAUGUAUUUGGGCAUAUAACCAAGCUCUGAGGCCAAUUGUUGUCCCCUCACUAGAUCAACACUCACUCAAACACAAACUGAAAGUGACAAAAAAUAAAGAGAAUACAGGUACUGAUUUCCAGUGAUGCGUCUUUGGUAACAAUCGCCAUAUCUUUCAAACUAAUGUAUUUGGGCAUAUAACUAAGCUCUGAGUCCAAUUGUUGUCCCCUCACAAGAUUAACACUCACUCAAACACAAACUGAAAGUGACAAAAAAUAAAGAGAAUACAGAGAAAUAAAAGAAUUCAGAAAGCACUUG